CAUGCAAGUCGAACGAGAAUCUGUGGAUCGAGGAUUCGUCCAAGUGAAGCAGAGGACAGUGGCGGACGGGUGAGUAACGCGUGAGGAACCUGCCUUUCAGAGGGGGACAACAGUUGGAAACGACUGCUAAUACCGCAUGAUACAUUUGGGUGGCAUCAUCUGAAUGUCAAAGAUUUAUCGCUGAAAGAUGGCCUCGCGUCUGAUUAGCUGGUUGGUGAGGUAACGGCCCACCAAGGCGACGAUCAGUAGCCGGACUGAGAGGUUGACCGGCCACAUUGGGACUGAGAUACGGCCCAGACUCCUACGGGAGGCAGCAGUGGGGAAUAUUGGGCAAUGGGCGCAAGCCUGACCCAGCAACGCCGCGUGAAGGAAGAAGGCUUUCGGGUUGUAAACUUCUUUUAAGAGGGAAGAGCAGAAGACUGUACCUCUAGAAUAAGCCACGGCUAACUACGUGCCAGCAGCCGCGGUAAUACGUAGGUGGCAAGCGUUGUCCGGAUUUACUGGGUGUAAAGGGCGUGCAGCCGGGAAUGCAAGUCAGAUGUGAAAUCCAUGGGCUUAACCCAUGAACUGCAUUUGAAACUGUAUUUCUUGAGUACUGGAGAGGCAAUCGGAAUUCCUAGUGUAGCGGUGAAAUGCGUAGAUAUUAGGAGGAACACCAGUGGC
This 663-nucleotide ribosomal RNA is filed under the name uncultured bacterium. RNAcentral describes it as "bacterial SSU rRNA". It matches the Rfam family "Bacterial small subunit ribosomal RNA", at positions 54 to 716 of the family's 1533-position model. The record is from RNAcentral.